Alexandromys fortis (reed vole) is the source of this 3253-nucleotide long non-coding RNA. RefSeq lists it as uncharacterized. The transcript has 2 exons. The record is from RefSeq and is a predicted model, not a curated record. NCBI's taxonomy places the organism in Eukaryota, Metazoa, Chordata, Mammalia, Rodentia, Cricetidae.
CCGAGCUACCGGGGGGGCAUCGCCGCGGGCCCGGGAACCAAUCCUCCUGUCGGCGGGGGCGUCCCUCCCUGCGGCUGGCUGGUGUCGGAACAAAAUGCCGACCGGAAGUGCAGCUGCAGGAAUGACUCCCUCCGCCGGCGCCAAACACUAACAACCACCCCCUCUUCCCCACUCCACUUCCGCCACCGCCGCCGCCGCCGCAGCCGCCGUCGCCGCCAGUCGGGCUCGCAGCUCGGCCUCAGAGGAACCGGUUCCCGCGGACCCGGGGCCUCGGCGGCGGCGACGGUGACGGCGGCGUUUCUUCUCGGCGUCCUUGUCCCGCCCUGGACGGCCGCCGCCCGCGGUGUCGCUCCUGCCGGCUGCCGGGCGGCGUAGCCCGGGGGCCCGGUUCUCCCCGGCUUGAGCGCUCCUGGAGGCGACAGCAGCCGGGCGCUGGGCCGGUGCGGUGGCCGAGCAGCCGGGCGCGCUCGCUCGUCUCGAGCGCUCCGGGCCUCACAGGCCGCGGACGGCGGCGAGCGGAGGUCGCCCUGCGCACCCUGCCUCGGCGGCCAUCAGCCCCGGGGAAGCCGAGCUCGGCCGGCCGGCCGGCCGGUGGAUGCCGACGGUGUGCCUUGUAAACGGUGUCCCCGCAGCCGUGAUGGAUGGAUCGCACGCCUCCCGUCCUUGGAGCGGCCGGACUCUAUCCGUCUGUGUUAUUUCUGCGGAGGACACAAUGCUCGGAGGGGAAGGCUCCCAGCCUGGCUGAGUUUGGAAUCGUGAUCGUGAUGCAUUAAGUUCUGGAAAUACACGGGCGCUGAUGGAUUUGCUUUUUUUUCUUUCUUUCUUUCUUUUUUGACGGUGGUUUGAUUCAUCCCUGAUAGUCGGGCUAAGGCCUGUAGGCGACGCUGUGCGAGCGAGGAGCGCGGCGGUCUCGGUGUGGGUGGAGCCGAGGCCGUCGGGACGCGGGGCACCGGAACCCGGGGACCGGCGCACUUCAGACGACGUUUUCCUCUUCAUGUUUGAAACUCAGGCACUGGACAAGGCUGGAGUACAAAAUGUGAAUAGACAUAUAGUACCGGGCCUGUCUGUAGUGUCUUAUUGUAAGACAAGAGGGAAUUCCAUCGCUACACAGCUUUCUCUAUUUUUUCUUUUUUGUAAAAGGGGGCUGUUCUUCAGGUAGGUAAGCGGAUUCUUCUCAGGAGGAAACAUACUAUUUUUUUUAAAUGAAUUAAGUUGUCAGCUUCAGAUUUUAUUCGUAUGUGUACAGAUGUGCUAGAAGGAUGUGGGGCAGCUCACCUACAGGUUUUUCUGUUUUUUUAGAAGUCGCUGGGGGCGAGGUAUUAAGAUUUUGUCUUUACUGCCCUCCUGACCCUGUGGAGUAAGUCAGGGGCUAACGAGUCUGUGAAGCAAGGAACGGGGAAGAAAGGAACCCGACUGGCGCCCUUGCAAAUAGAACUGUGUCUCGUCCUGCUGCUGCUGACUUUCCCCAGAGCGUCCGUUGAAGUUGUCUCCGUCUUCAGGGUUCCGCUCGGGUGCCACCUGGUGCCUCCACCGCUCCUGUUUACCUUCUAGGUUGGCGGCUUCCUUCUCAUUCCGUCAUCCGGGCUUUCAGUCUUGCCUUACUCUUUGCCCAGUAGUCCGGCAGCUUGAGGAGAUGAAGUUUAGCUUUCCUUCGCUGGUGUUCUGUGUGCAUCGCGCUGUGGAUGCCUCAGGCGCCCCCCUCCCUUAUUUCUGAACUCUACCCUUUAAUACGAGCUUAUCUAUACCUAAAAGAACAGAUGGUGAAAACAAGAAAAAAUAUAGACGGAACGGAGGUAAGUUUAUUAGAGGUCAGGAAAAGAUCGCUUCUGGACACUCGAAAGCUCAUAAAGGUGAUGGUUGCUUUUCUCUAGAUGAUGUGACAGAGGCCAGUGCACUUGUUGAUCAAAUGACCUUUCCCAUAGCGAGCUGAUUCACUGUGCUCUCGUGAGUCACAAAACUUCAUUCUUAAUCCUGUCUGCCCUCCUUGCAAAAUACACGCCGUUGUGACUAAACCGAAGUCUAAGAAUUUGGUGGGCUCAGCUAAAACACAGCACUACUAGGAGAGCUCAUUGAGCAAGUAUUUAUUGGUCACACAAUGUGCGGCACUGUGAGUCAAAAGGUGUAUGUUUCAAAGGCUGCCAGGCCCUGUAUAAAGGACCACAUAUGGCUGCUUUGGGUACUCUUAUUAUGCUGCUGUCGAGAAAAGCAAAAGCUAGAGGAGUUUACUUGUAGGUUUGCUAAAGAUUCUGUGAGAGAUGAGGGCAAGCUUCGUGUCAGUAUUUUACUCACCGCUGAGGGUGGUGUUGAUUUACCUUUGCUUACCUUAUUGUAGCACUUGAGAUACCAAUUGAAGAUGAUUUUGAAAACUAUAAAGGUAGGAAAUUUGAUUUCCUAGUAGCAGGAAAAGUAGGUCUUCACUACUUCACUAAAGCAGUAAACUGGAGCUGUAUAGAAAAGGCUUUAGUUAUAUUUUAAAUUUCUUUAUUUCAUUUAGAGUAUUCUUGGACAAGAAUACAGUUUUAAUAACUAUUUUACACCCAUUAGCUUAAAUAAUUAAAUAUUAUUUAGUUACAGUCAACAGUCUGCUUGAUAUUAAUUUUGAGAACAGAUUUAAGUAACUUACAAAUGGCUUAGAAUACUUUUCACUCAGUUUCAAAGUUCGUUUUCCUUAUGGAAGCACAAUUAUCUUCCUGUAUACUUUCUUGAAUGUUACUGGUGAGCUAUUAAUUUUGCAUGCCUCAGUAAAGACAGUUGAUAGGCUGUUUAGUACAAAGUCUUGGCAUGGUUGUAGCAUUUAAUCCAAACUUAAAUUUAAAAAACAUAAUUUGGUGUGUGCAUGUUAAUUUGUGAGGGUGUAUAUGUGUGGAAGCCAGAGGUGAAUUAAGGUGUCAUUCCCCAGAAGCUGCCAACUUUUUUUUUUUUUAAGAGAAGGUUUCUCCUGGGAUUUGGGAAUCUGAUUAGGUAAACUAGCUAUUUGAAAGUCCCAGGGAUCCACCUGUCUUAGCAGACAUGUGUGCACCACCAUGUCCAACAUGCAGGGACCCAAAUCAGGUCUUCGGGUUUAUAUUUUACCAACUGAGCAAUCUCCCCACACCCAAAAUUAAUAACUUUAAUUUAUUCCCUCAAACAUAUUGAAGAUUUAUUAGGUGCUAAUUAGCUCUUUUCUAGGCACCUCAUAUAAAAUAGUGAAUGAAAGCAGACAAGGGCUCACUUUCUUUGAAGGUUUUUCCGAUCCCAGAAUUAAAUAAUUUCA